UACGUAGGGCGCAAGCGUUGUCCGGAAUUAUUGGGCGUAAAGAGCUCGUAGGUGGCGUGUCGCGUCUGCCGUGAAAGCCCAUGGCUUAACUGUGGGUCUGCGGUGGAUACGGGCAGGCUGGAGGCUGGUAGGGGCAAGCGGAAUUCCUGGUGUAGCGGUGAAAUGCGCAGAUAUCAGGAGGAACACCGGUGGCGAAGGCG
This 200-nucleotide ribosomal RNA is filed under the name uncultured bacterium. Its description in RNAcentral is "partial 16S ribosomal RNA". It matches the Rfam family "Bacterial small subunit ribosomal RNA", at positions 524 to 723 of the family's 1533-position model. The record is from RNAcentral.